RNAcentral lists this long non-coding RNA (545 nucleotides) under Eucalyptus grandis. Its description in RNAcentral is "long non-coding RNA (EGRA_LNC000400)". The record is from RNAcentral. Lineage: Eukaryota; Viridiplantae; Streptophyta; Magnoliopsida; Myrtales; Myrtaceae.
AGACACUCAGGCUUUGUUUGGGAGAGAAGAUGGGGGAAGAAAAAGAAGGUGGGUAUAUCGAAUCCUGGAAGAAUUUGAAUCUUCUGUGAGAGGGUUUUGGAGGCAAAAUUUAUGAUGUUCACCACCCACCCUAUAUUUUCCUCCCCUCUCUCUACCACAGAAAGCAUCAGGUAGACCUGCUAGAAUUUUAAGAUAUCUUUUGAUAUUGUUCAAGUGUAAGAAACCUUUUUUGAUUGGUCUAAGUGGAAAACACGUUAAAGUAACCAUCAGAUGCAUUCUAGAUAGUUCCCGCUACACCCUGCCAUCAUUUUCAGAAACAGCAUGAUAUUCUUGGUGGUUGCUUCACCCUAUUAAUCCAGAGGUGUCCCAAAUGCAAGAGAAUCAGAGCCAAGUGCUGCCAUCACCCCCAACUGCAAUGGUCAGAUGGCACUGCACCUGGCAGUGGCACAAAAAAUCACAUUUCUAUGUCCAUUUAGGAAAACAACAUAACCACGACUCCUCAGAGAAUGAUCUGCUGAGAAGAAAAGUAAAACCCAAACAAAAGG